GUCUACGGCCAUACCACCCUGAACACACUUGAUCCCAUCUGAUUUCUGAAGCUAAGCAGGGUUGGUCCUGUUAGUACUUCAAUGGGAGACCACCUAGGAAGAUCAGUUGCUGUAGGCG
This 118-nucleotide ribosomal RNA is filed under the name Pteropus alecto (black flying fox). The record is from RNAcentral. Lineage: Eukaryota; Metazoa; Chordata; Mammalia; Chiroptera; Pteropodidae.